GCUGGCUGUGUGCCUAUACUGCAUGUCGAACGAAGCACUUGUGCUUAGUGGCAAAUGGGUGAGUAACACGUACUUAAUCUACCCCCAAGUUUGGGAUAACAGUUGGAAACAAUUGCUAAUACCAAAUACAUAUAAGUUUUGCAUAAUUCUUAUAUAAAAGGAGCGUUUGUUUCGCUAGGGGAUGAGAGUACGCUACAUUAGUUAGUUGGUAGGGUAAGAGCCUACCAAGACUAUGAUGUAUAGCGGGGCUGAGAAGCUGAACCGCCACACUGGGACUGAGAUACGGCCCAGACUCCUACGGGAGGCAGCAGUAGGGAAUAUUCCACAAUGAGCGAAAGCUUGAUGGAGCAACACAGCGUGCAGGAAGACGACCUUAGGGUUGUAAACUGCUGUUAUGAGCGAAGAAAAAUAAAAUUAGGAAAUGAAUUUUACAUGACGGUACCUCAUCAGAAAGCACCGGCAAACUAUGUGCCAGCAGCCGCGGUAAUACAUAGGGUGCAAGCGUUAUCCGGAAUUAUUGGGCGUAAAGUGUCUGUAGGUGGUAUGUUAAGUCUAGUGUUAAAGACUAGGGCCCAACCCUAGCACGCUCUAGAUACUGACAUGCUAGAGUCAUAGAGAGGUUAGCGGAACUCCUAGUGAAGCGGUGACAUGUGUAGAUAUUAGGAAGAACACAAUAGCGAAGGCAGCUAACUGGAUAUGUACUGACACUCAGAG
This 714-nucleotide ribosomal RNA is filed under the name uncultured bacterium. Its description in RNAcentral is "bacterial SSU rRNA". It matches the Rfam family "Bacterial small subunit ribosomal RNA", at positions 35 to 752 of the family's 1533-position model. The record is from RNAcentral.